UGAUCAGCCACAUUGGGACUGAGACACGGCCCAAACUCCUACGGGAGGCAGCAGUGGGGAAUCUUGCACAAUGGAGGAAACUCUGAUGCAGCGAUGCCGCGUGAGUGAAGAAGGCCCUUGGGUUGUAAAGCUCUUUCGUCGGGGAAGAAAAUGACUGUACCCGAAUAAGAAGGUCCGGCUAACUUCGUGCCAGCAGCCGCGGUAAUACGAAGGGACCUAGCGUAGUUCGGAAUUACUGGGCUUAAAGAGUUCGUAGGUGGUUGAAAAAGUUGGUGGUGAAAUCCCAGAGCUUAACUCUGGAACUGCCAUCAAAACUUUUCAGCUAGAGUUUGAUAGAGGAAAGCAGAAUUUCUAGUGUAGAGGUGAAAUUCGUAGAUAUUAGAAAGAAUACCAAUUGCGAAGGCAGCUUUCUGGAUCAUUACUGACACUGAGGAACGAAAGCAUGGGUAGCGAAGAGGAUUAGAUACCCUCGUAGUCCAUGCCGUAAACGAUGUGUGUUAGACGUUGGAAAUUUAUUUUCAGUGUCGCAGCGAAAGCGAUAAACACACCGCCUGGGGAGUACGACCGC
This 568-nucleotide ribosomal RNA is filed under the name uncultured Pelagibacteraceae bacterium. RNAcentral's name for it is "bacterial SSU rRNA". It matches the Rfam family "Bacterial small subunit ribosomal RNA", at positions 301 to 889 of the family's 1533-position model. Lineage: Bacteria; Pseudomonadati; Pseudomonadota; Alphaproteobacteria; Candidatus Pelagibacterales; Candidatus Pelagibacteraceae. The record is from RNAcentral.